RNAcentral lists this unclassified non-coding RNA (268 nucleotides) under Hevea brasiliensis (rubber tree). The record is from RNAcentral. Lineage: Eukaryota; Viridiplantae; Streptophyta; Magnoliopsida; Malpighiales; Euphorbiaceae.
GCCAUCGUCCAGGUGUCUCGGUGCUGCUGUGAGAUUAGUUCUUAGAUGGCGCUGCUGUUAUACGAGGCUGCAACCUCAAGAAGGUUGCUGAAGACGAAUAUAUAAUGGCAAUACUUGACCGUUGCUUUCUCUUUGAAUGUUUUGGAUGACUUUCCUAGGUUGUAAUAUAUGUUACGAGUCUUUUUUUUUUCAACCACAAAAAAUNNNCAUUUUCCAGACCAUAUAUUCUGAUGAUGAUAAUUGUCAGAUCCAUUGGUACUGUCCCUGC